UCGUGGUAAUUUAGCACUAUUGGUCCCACCUUAUUCCAUUCCGAACUAAGAAGUGAAACGGUAGUGCUCCGAUGAUACUUGGGUUCGCCCUGGGAAAGUAGGAUUUGCCGCGAU
Molecule: ribosomal RNA, 114 nt
Filed under: Candidatus Harrisonbacteria bacterium CG10_big_fil_rev_8_21_14_0_10_45_28
Lineage: Bacteria; Candidatus Harrisoniibacteriota
Source: RNAcentral